CCUACAAUUAUUAUUAGAGUUAAUUGUAUACAGGUCCCCGUAAAUAUAGUAAAUUACAAAUAUAUUCCUGUAAAGUUUAACUUUUAUAAAUUAUCCCUGCAAAAGUCCUAUUAUUUUCAUAUAUGUGUCCCUCUCAUUUGUUACCGUUAGAGAAUAAUACAUAAUAUGUCCUUGAAAACUUCCAAAAUAUCUAAUUUGUCCUAUUUUUUUAAAUUUCAAAUAUACCCUUCGUGGAGUUUUUCGUUAUUCAAAAAUACCCGCACUAUUAGUACUCGUUAAGUUAUCUUAGGUUAAAUCCGGAUUAAAUUUCUACUAGAAUUAAAAAAUUAAAAUAUCUCUUUUGCCCUUAAUGUAAUAAGAAAAGUUGAUGAUGGUAGAAGGGUAUGUUUGAAAAGACAAAAAUUAAAAUAUUUUUUUUGCCCCUAUCUUAAGGGCAAAUAAGAAUAGUUGGUGACAGUAGAAGGGUAAGUUUACAGAGAUCACGAUUGUCGCUAAUCGUUUAUUAACAAAAUUUUAACUCUAUGGGUAAAUUUGAAAUAAUUUGAAACGUUAAAAGAAUAUUUUUAAUAUUAGCAUUCUAAAAAAGAUAAAUUAAAAAGUCGAAAAUUUUAGCAUUCUAAAAGGGAUAAUUUCGAAAGUCGAAAAUAUUUCAUGGAUAUGUAAGCAAUU
Molecule: long non-coding RNA, 669 nt
Filed under: Ananas comosus (pineapple)
Lineage: Eukaryota; Viridiplantae; Streptophyta; Magnoliopsida; Poales; Bromeliaceae
Description: long non-coding RNA (ACOM_LNC021980)
Source: RNAcentral